UGCGUAGGCGGUUUACUAAGUCAGAUGUGAAAGCCCCGGGCUUAACCUGGGAACUGCAUUUGAUACUGGUAGGCUAGAGUAUGAUAGAGGGGGGUAGAAUUCCUGGUGUAGCGGUGAAAUGCGUAGAUAUCAGGAGGAAUACCAGUGGCGAAGGCGGCCCCCUGGAUCAAUACUGACGCUGAGGUACGAAAGCGUGGGUAGUGAACA
RNAcentral lists this ribosomal RNA (207 nucleotides) under uncultured bacterium. Its description in RNAcentral is "partial 16S ribosomal RNA". It matches the Rfam family "Bacterial small subunit ribosomal RNA", at positions 568 to 774 of the family's 1533-position model. The record is from RNAcentral.